RNAcentral lists this long non-coding RNA (236 nucleotides) under Trifolium pratense (red clover). Its description in RNAcentral is "long non-coding RNA (TPRA_LNC001955)". Lineage: Eukaryota; Viridiplantae; Streptophyta; Magnoliopsida; Fabales; Fabaceae. The record is from RNAcentral.
UUUUUAGUAGUUUCGUGUCUAGAAAUUUCGUCUUAAAUGUGAAUAAGUAAAGUGUACGAGGUUCGAACUCCGACUCUUGUACAUAUGGUGUGAUGUCUCUAUCAACUGAGCUAAGCUACAAAGACUUUACUGAGUUAAAUUUAUACCGAUAAAAAAACACAAGUGUGAACAAUAUACAAUAUUGUGGAACCAAAUUAUCGAAUUUGGAUUAAAAAAAUCCUAUAGGCUCGAUCGAC